UCAGAGGUGAAAUUCUUGGAUUGAUGGAAGACAAACUGCUGCGAAAGCGUCUGCCAAGGAUGUUUUCAUUGAUCAAGAACGAAAGUAAGGGGAUCGAAGACGAUCAGAUACCGUCGUAGUCUUUACCAUAAACGAUGAGGACUGGGGAUCGGGCGAGGAAUUACGAUGACCCGCCCGGCACCCUCCGGGAAACCAAAGUGUUUGCUUUCUGGGGGGAGUAUGGUCGCAAGGCUGAAACUUAAAGGAAUUGACGGAAGGGCAUCACCGGGUGUGGAGCCUGCGGCUUAAUUUGACUCAACACGGGAAAACUUACCAGGUCAGGACAUAGUGAGGAUUGACAGAUUGAGAGCUCUUUCUUGAUUCUAUGGUUGGUGGUGCAUGGCCGUUCUUAGUUGGUGGAGUGAUUUGUCUGGUUAAUUCCGUUAACGAGCGAGACCUGGGCGUGCUAAAUAGGGGCUAUUACCUUUUUUGGUAGUAUGUUUUCCCCUUCUUAGACGGACUGUGGGCGCCUAGCCCACGGAAGCUCCAGGCAAUAACAGGUCUGAGAUGCCCUUAGAUGUUCUGGGCCGCACGCGUGCUACACUGAGUGGAUCAGCGGGUCAGGUUGCAAGAGAUUGUUUCCUAAUCUUGAAAUCCGCUCGUGCUGGGGAUUGACGGUUGCAAUUUUCCGUCAUGAACGAGGAAUACCUUGUAAGCGCGGGUCAUCAUCCCGCGCUGAAUACGUCCCUGCCCUUUGUACACACCGCCCGUCGCUCCUACCGAUUGAGUGGUCCGGUGAGGCUUUGGGAUUGCAGCGAAAAUAGCGCUUCGCUAGAUUUGUCGCAAGAACUCAGUCGAACCUUAUCAUUUAGAGGAAGGAGAAGUCGUAACAAGGUUUCCGUAGGUGAACCUGCAGAAGGAUCAAGCUA
RNAcentral lists this ribosomal RNA (908 nucleotides) under Mastophoroideae sp. BISH 699819. RNAcentral describes it as "SSU rRNA". It matches the Rfam family "Eukaryotic small subunit ribosomal RNA", at positions 905 to 1831 of the family's 1831-position model. The record is from RNAcentral. Lineage: Eukaryota; Rhodophyta; Florideophyceae; Corallinales; Mastophoraceae.